This 468-nucleotide ribosomal RNA is filed under the name uncultured bacterium. RNAcentral's name for it is "partial 16S ribosomal RNA". It matches the Rfam family "Bacterial small subunit ribosomal RNA", at positions 28 to 507 of the family's 1533-position model. The record is from RNAcentral.
GACGAACGCUGGCGGCGUGCUUAACACAUGCAAGUCGAACGGAAAGGCCCUGCUUUUGCGGGGUGCUCGAGUGGCGAACGGGUGAGUAACACGUGAGUAACCUGCCCUUGACUUUGGGAUAACUUCAGGAAACUGGGGCUAAUACCGGAUAGGAGCUCCUGCUGCAUGGUGGGGGUUGGAAAGUUUCGGCGGUUGGGGAUGGACUCGCGGCUUAUCAGCUUGUUGGUGGGGUAGUGGCUUACCAAGGCUUUGACGGGUAGCCGGCCUGAGAGGGUGGCCGGCGACAUUGGGACUGCGGUACGGCCCAGUAUCCUACGGGAGGCAGCAGUGGGGAAUAUUGCACAAUGGGCGGAAGCCUGAUGCGGCAACGCCGCGUGCGGAAUGACGGCCUUCGGGUUGUAAACCGCCUUCGCCUGUGACGAAGCGUGAGUGACGGUAAUGGGUAAAGAAGCACCGGCUAACUACGUG